AUGGAACCCGGGCCGCACGCGUGCCAGGCGAGCGCGCUACCGCUUGAGCCACAUCCCCAGCCCAAGAUUGAAUUUUAAAAGACACGAAGAUCGCGAGUGGUCAUCGCAGGAUGAGGGGAGAGGAAGAAGGAGGAGGCCUAGGAGAGCGAGGAGCUGUUCCUGGUGCAUGAGCCACACAGCAGCACAAGCGUUUCUCCUGGAGGGUGCCAAGGAACAGAGCCCUGAGGCACAUGGAGGUUGCUUCCCACCCGCUUAUAAGGGGGACAGGCCAAUCUAGACUCCAACUGUUUCCCAGGAACUCCGUGCCUCUCAGAGGCAGGCACCUUUCCCACUUGGUUCUUAGGCCAGCUGGGCAAAGGUGAGCACGGAUGGCAGAGGCACUGCGUUAGGCGUGACACUGUGGCCUUAGGCUGGGGGAGAAGCCAUGCUCAGAAGGGGUCCUAAGGUCCUGGCAGGCAGGUGUGGUGAAGCAGGAAGAUGUUCUCCACCUGGUGUCUUGGGCACCUUCUGGGACCCUCGUCUCCCAGGCCAGUGAGCCAGUUAGCCAGUCUCGGCUCCUAGAAGGGUUGUAGGAUCAGGGGGUCCACCUGGCCUUCCUGUCCUGGGAAAGGGAGGGGCAGGCCAGUCUGAGGCCUCCCCUCCAGGGCAGCAGAUUUGCCUAGACGAGUGGGCACUCGACAGGGAACUGAAGACAGACCCAGGUGGAAGUGGCCACUAGGCCCUGGCUUCGCCCACACAACAUGGCCUCCCUGAGGAUGGGACCAGGUGGCACCCCCACAGGCCAAAUGGUCAUGGUGUGACACAGGGUAAGUCAGGGACGGGGUAUGCAUCUGCUGUCCCCUCCACUCAUUGCUCCACUGGCCUUUGGGGCACUACUGGUGAACCCCAGGCCCCAGUGACCUUUUCCCCCUGUGGCCUUGACAAGGGCUGGGAACCUCCGGCCUGGCGUCCUGUGUCCUGCCAAGAGGAUGUCCUGUCCACAGCCUCUGUCUCCCGCCUGCCUUAUUCCUCCCAGGAGCCGCCCUGGGGCCUCCAGGGGCAGAGGUGGACAUUGUGGGGAGGGGAAGGGGAACCAGGGCAUCCUGAGCUCUGUCCCUCCCAGCUCUUCCCCCUGGACUUGGUGAAGUGGAAAAUCCCCCGCCCAGUCACUGGGCAUCCCCUGGGCAGACCAGCUCCCCCUGGGUUGGAGGCAGCUGCUCCUCAGAACAAAGGCUGUGGGAGGCAGGGAGAUAGGAGCAGGGAAAGGCAGGCUGACCCUUCCUUCCAGCCCCUGACCUCUCUUGGGGCUUCCUGCCUGGAGUGUGUGGGGGCUGAGUGGGGAGGGGCGGCGGGAGAGGCCAAAGGCUCAGGUCAGGUUCCUGCCUCAAGCCUGCCUCUCGUGGGGAGUGAGCAGAGAGCCUCGUGGAAGGUCUGAGACUCCUGGAGCCAGGCCCCCAUGGGCUGCAGGGAACUGGGCUGGUACUAGGAAGGGCCAGAGCAGCCUGAGUACCUCACCUUCAGUCUGCUCCUCCUCACCCCAACAGCUUGUGUGUGUGUGUGUGCCUGUGUGUGCCUCCAGGUGGGUGUGCCUAGGAGUCUGGGUGGUCUGAGUAUCUCUGUGUGACACGCGUGAGUUCCUGGGUGGGAAGGGGGUCGGUGUGAAAGCCUGGGUGCAUCGGCAGGUGUGUGUGCUUGACCUGUGUCUCAGGCAUGUCUGAAUCUCAGACAGGGUGGCAAACGCAGUGCCAUUUUUCCCCUAAGGUCAAGAAUGACCAGUGUACCUGACAUGGUGGCACACACCUGAUUUCUCAGCAGCUUCAGAGGCUGAGGCAGGAGGAUCAUGAGUUCAAAGCCAGCCUCACCAAAGUGAGG
This 1851-nucleotide long non-coding RNA is filed under the name Marmota monax (woodchuck). The record is from RNAcentral. Lineage: Eukaryota; Metazoa; Chordata; Mammalia; Rodentia; Sciuridae.